GUGCCAGCAGCCGCGGUAAUACGUAGGUGGCAAGCGUUAUCCGGAAUUAUUGGGCGUAAGGCGCGCGUAGGCGGUUUUUUAAGUCUGAUGUGAAAGCCCACGGCUCAACCGUGGGGGGUCAUUGGAAACUGGAAAACUUGAGUGCAGAAGAGGAAAGUGGAAUUCCAUGUGUAGCGGUGAAAUGCGCAGAGAUAUAGAGGAACACCAGUGGCGAAGGCGACUUUCNUGGUCUGUAACUGACGCUGAUGUGCGAAAGCGUGGGGAUCAAACAGGAUUAG
Molecule: ribosomal RNA, 278 nt
Filed under: uncultured Staphylococcus sp.
Lineage: Bacteria; Bacillati; Bacillota; Bacilli; Caryophanales; Staphylococcaceae
Description: partial 16S ribosomal RNA
Rfam family: Bacterial small subunit ribosomal RNA
Source: RNAcentral